Molecule: ribosomal RNA, 557 nt
Filed under: uncultured bacterium
Lineage: Bacteria
Description: bacterial SSU rRNA
Rfam family: Bacterial small subunit ribosomal RNA
Source: RNAcentral
ACGGGUGAGUAACGCGUGGGAAUCUACCGUACCCUACGGAAUAGCUCUGGGAAACUGGAAGUAAUACCGUAUACGCCCUAACGGGGAAAGAUUUAUCGGGGUAUGAUGAGCCCGCGUUGGAUUAGCUAGUUGGUGGGGUAAAGGCCUACCAAGGCGACGAUCCAUAGCUGGUCUGAGAGGAUGAUCAGCCACAUUGGGACUGAGACACGGCCCAAACUCCUACGGGAGGCAGCAGUGGGGAAUAUUGGACAAUGGGGGCAACCCUGAUCCAGCCAUGCCGCGUGAGUGAUGAAGGUCUUAGGAUUGUAAAGCUCUUUCAACGGUGAAGAUAAUGACGGUAACCGUAGAAGAAGCCCCGGCUAACUUCGUGCCAGCAGCCGCGGUAAUACGAAGGGGGCUAGCGUUGUUCGGAAUUACUGGGCGUAAAGCGCACGUAGGCGGGUAUUUAAGUCAGGGGUGAAAUCCCGCAGCUCAACUGCGGAACUGCCUUUGAUACUGGGUAUCUUGAGUAUGGAAGAGGUAAGUGGAAUUGCGGGUGUAGAGGUGAAAUUCGUAGA